This 253-nucleotide ribosomal RNA is filed under the name uncultured bacterium. Its description in RNAcentral is "partial 16S ribosomal RNA". It matches the Rfam family "Bacterial small subunit ribosomal RNA", at positions 524 to 776 of the family's 1533-position model. The record is from RNAcentral.
UACGGGGGGAGCAAGCGUUGUUCGGAUUUACUGGGCGUAAAGGGCGCGUAGGCGGCACCGCAAGUCGACUGUGAAAUCUCCGGGCUUAACUCGGAAAGGUCAACCGAUACUGUGCGGCUAGAGUGCGGAAGGGGCAACUGGAAUUCUCGGUGUAGCGGUGAAAUGCGUAGAUAUCGAGAGGAACACCAGUGGCGAAGGCGAGUCCCUGGACAACACCUGACACUGAGGCACGAAAGCUAGGGGAGCAAACAGG